Molecule: ribosomal RNA, 253 nt
Filed under: uncultured bacterium
Lineage: Bacteria
Description: partial 16S ribosomal RNA
Rfam family: Bacterial small subunit ribosomal RNA
Source: RNAcentral
UACGUAGGGGGCAAGCGUUGUCCGGAAUCAUUGGGCGUAAAGCGCGUGUAGGCGGUCCGGUAAGUCCGCUGUGAAAGUCGGGGGCUCAACCCUCGGAUGCCGGUGGAUACUGUGGAGCUAGAGUCCGGAAGAGGCGAGUGGAAUUCCUGGUGUAGCGGUGGAAUGCGCAGAUAUCAGGAGGAACACCAAUAGCGAAGGCAGCUCGCUGGGACGGUACUGACACUGAGGCGCGAAAGCGUGGGGAGCGAACAGG